GCGGAGGAUCAUUACUGAAACUUCAUCCGGGGCGCCGCGGCCCUCAGCACCGGUGGAAACGCCGUGUUGCGGGGACCGCGCGUGCACUCGUCCAAACCAAACCCCUGUGAACCUUACGGGAUGGCCUGGGUUAGCGCCCGGUGCCGUUCCGCUUUAUACAAACACUUUUAAAAGAAUGAACUGAAGGCGGUCUGACCGCUGGAUAACAAACUGAAACAACUUUCAACAACGGAUCUCUUGGCUCUCGCAUCGAUGAAGAACGCAGCGAAAUGCGAUAAGUAAUGUGAAUUGCAGAAUUCAGUGAAUCAUCGAAUCUUUGAACGCACCUUGCGCCCUCUGGUAUUCCGGAGGGCAUGCCUGUUUGAGUGUCUUGAUAUCAUCAAACCCCUCGGGUUCGCGCCCGCUGCGGUUUGGAGUUGGGGGCUUGCUGCCGCAAGGCGGCUCCCCUUAAAAUCAUCGGUUUGGCUCGCAUCAUGCGGGCUUGCACCUUUGGCGUUGUAUUUUCCUCGCCUUUGAUCGGUCUUGCUCGCUUCCGCGCCUCACCUCGACUUGCCCUUUGGGUGGCGGUCACUUCUUGACAAUCUGGCCUCAAAUC
This 595-nucleotide ribosomal RNA is filed under the name uncultured Trechisporales. RNAcentral describes it as "eukaryotic LSU rRNA". The stretch from base 218 to 371 matches the Rfam family "5.8S ribosomal RNA". Lineage: Eukaryota; Fungi; Basidiomycota; Agaricomycetes; Trechisporales. The record is from RNAcentral.